AGCCGUGUGGUAAGCACAAAGCGAACUAUUCUUUCGCCUUUUACUAAAGAAUACCGUGUGCUUGCCACUUUAAACGGCAUACGCUUAUUUUUUGAAGAGUUUUCCUUUACUGGAAGGCU
Molecule: small nuclear RNA, 119 nt
Filed under: Lupinus albus (white lupine)
Lineage: Eukaryota; Viridiplantae; Streptophyta; Magnoliopsida; Fabales; Fabaceae
Description: U5 spliceosomal RNA
Rfam family: U5 spliceosomal RNA
About the family: U5 RNA is a component of both types of known spliceosome. The precise function of this molecule is unknown, though it is known that the 5' loop is required for splice site selection and p220 binding, and that both the 3' stem-loop and the Sm site are important for Sm protein binding and cap methylation.
Source: Rfam by way of RNAcentral